CCAAACCAACAAGCUUGCUUGUUGGGGUUGUAGGACACUCUAUACGGAGUUACAAAGGACGACAUUAGACGAAUCAUCUGGAAAGAUGAAUCAAAGAAGGUAAUAAUCCUGUAGUCGAAAAUGUUGUCUCUCUUGAGUGGAUCCUGAGUACGACGGAGCACGUGAAAUUCCGUCGGAAUCUGGGAGGACCAUCUCCUAAGGCUAAAUACUCUCUAGUGACCGAUAGUGAACCAGUACCGUGAGGGAAAGGUGAAAAGCACCCCGGAAGGGGAGUGAAAUAGAACCUGAAACCGUGUGCUUACAAGUAGUCAGAGCCCGUUAAUGGGUGAUGGCGUGCCUUUUGUAGAAUGAACCGGCGAGUUACGAUUUGAUGCAAGGUUAAGCAGUAAAUGUGGAGCCGUAGCGAAAGCGAGUCUGAAUAGGGCGUUUAGUAUUUGGUCGUAGACCCGAAACCAGGUGAUCUACCCUUGGUCAGGUUGAAGUUCAGGUAACACUGAAUGGAGGACCGAACCGACUUACGUUGAAAAGUGAGCGGAUGAACUGAGGGUAGCGGAGAAAUUCCAAUCGAACCUGGAGAUAGCUGGUUCUCUCCGAAAUAGCUUUAGGGCUAGCCUCAAGUGAUGAUUAUUGGAGGUAGAGCACUGUUUGGACGAGGGGCCCCUCUCGGGUUACCGAAUUCAGACAAACUCCGAAUGCCAAUUAAUUUAACUUGGGAGUCAGAACAUGGGUGAUAAGGUCCGUGUUCGAAAGGGAAACAGCCCAGACCACCAGCUAAGGUCCCAAAAUAUAUGUUAAGUGGAAAAGGAUGUGGCGUUGCCCAGACAACUAGGAUGUUGGCUUAGAAGCAGCCAUCAUUUAAAGAGUGCGUAAUAGCUCACUAGUCGAGUGACACUGCGCCGAAAAUGUACCGGGGCUAAACAUAUUACCGAAGCUGUGGAUUGUCCUUUGGACAAUGGUAGGAGAGCGUUCUAAGGGCGUUGAAGCAUGAUCGUAAGGACAUGUGGAGCGCUUAGAAGUGAGAAUGCCGGUGUGAGUAGCGAAAGACGGGUGAGAAUCCCGUCCACCGAUUGACUAAGGUUUCCAGAGGAAGGCUCGUCCGCUCUGGGUUAGUCGGGUCCUAAGCUGAGGCCGACAGGCGUAGGCGAUGGAUAACAGGUUGAUAUUCCUGUACCACCUAUAAUCGUUUUAAUCGAUGGGGGGACGCAGUAGGAUAGGCGAAGCGUGCGAUUGGAUUGCACGUCUAAGCAGUAAGGCUGAGUAUUAGGCAAAUCCGGUACUCGUUAAGGCUGAGCUGUGAUGGGGAGGAGACAUUGUGUCUUCGAGUCGUUGAUUUCACACUGCCGAGAAAAGCCUCUAGAUAGAAAAUAGGUGCCCGUACCGCAAACCGACACAGGUAGUCAAGAUGAGAAUUCUAAGGUGAGCGAGCGAACUCUCGUUAAGGAACUCGGCAAAAUGACCCCGUAACUUCGGGAGAAGGGGUGCUCUUUAGGGUUAACGCCCAGAAGAGCCGCAGUGAAUAGGCCCAAGCGACUGUUUAUCAAAAACACAGGUCUCUGCUAAACCGUAAGGUGAUGUAUAGGGGCUGACGCCUGCCCGGUGCUGGAAGGUUAAGAGGAGUGGUUAGCUUCUGCGAAGCUACGAAUCGAAGCCCCAGUAAACGGCGGCCGUAACUAUAACGGUCCUAAGGUAGCGAAAUUCCUUGUCGGGUAAGUUCCGACCCGCACGAAAGGCGUAACGAUUUGGGCACUGUCUCAACGAGAGACUCGGUGAAAUCAUAGUACCUGUGAAGAUGCAGGUUACCCGCGACAGGACGGAAAGACCCCGUGGAGCUUUACUGUAGCCUGAUAUUGAAAUUCGGCACAG
Molecule: ribosomal RNA, 1863 nt
Filed under: Staphylococcus aureus
Lineage: Bacteria; Bacillati; Bacillota; Bacilli; Caryophanales; Staphylococcaceae
Description: partial 23S ribosomal RNA
Rfam family: Bacterial large subunit ribosomal RNA
Source: RNAcentral